Molecule: long non-coding RNA, 725 nt
Filed under: Elaeis guineensis (African oil palm)
Lineage: Eukaryota; Viridiplantae; Streptophyta; Magnoliopsida; Arecales; Arecaceae
Description: long non-coding RNA (EGUI_LNC074472)
Source: RNAcentral
CCAUCUACAUUAAUAGUCUUUUUUAUGAUCUAUUUUUCUUUCAUCUAACCAUUUAAAUGAAUUUAAAAAGAUAGCUCCUCCAGGAGACGGCAAUUACAUCAACAAACGAUCCUUCCUUCAUAUUGGUCUACAUAUUAGACAUCAAUAUUCAUUCUGUAGUACCCCAAGAAUCUCUUACUUCAUAGACACGUUGCUUAGCACUUCCCUAGCAUCUACCACAUAUUUCUUUCUGAUAGUUGGACAGCAAGAUAUAGCCAAAAACAAAUUCUGGUAGUAGCAUUACACAAUAAAUAAUGGUGAGAAUGACAUUGAAUACAAGCUUAUUCAUUAUAAAAGCAUCACAACCUUAUCUACCAUUGCCUCAUUCUUUUCAUGAUAAAUUUGGGGCAAUAUUGUCUGGCUUAAACCCACUGAUGAAUCAAUAUUUGAAGAACUCGAAGGUUUAAGUGAUGACCCAGUUGAAUCCUCCCAACAUCGGAAGAGAUUGAUGAUGUUUUAGGUUAUUUAUUAGGUCGGGCAACUGCCAAAAUAGCUAAAGCUUGAACAUCUUGUGGCACUUUGUCACGAACUACAAUGUCAUGCCCUGUAGAGUCCUGAUAGGUGAGACUUUACUGCAAUAUUCCUCCUGAAUAUUACUUUUGUCAAAAUUUACAUCUAAAUCUAACCUUUAGAUCAUCAGCAUAUUCCCAAAAUUGGUCUUUAGCUUUUCCUAUUUUACUUCAACC